UGUUGUUCUCUGCUAGACAUCCCAAAUGCCUAUAUCAAGCCAGAACCCAAUCCGGGGAAGGUGAGAACCUUCGACAAGGUUCGAGUCGAGCAACGCGAGACAACGUUGCCGCAGGCAACGGCCCGUAGGGCGAGCCGCAACGCGGCGAGUCAUCCUUCCCCCACCACCA
RNAcentral lists this small RNA (169 nucleotides) under Edwardsiella tarda ATCC 23685. Its description in RNAcentral is "RtT RNA". The stretch from base 41 to 169 matches the Rfam family "RtT RNA". Rfam says of the family: This family represents a bacterial cis-regulatory element known as RtT RNA. The exact function of RtT is unknown although it is thought that it may be involved in changing the cellular response in relation to amino acid starvation. Lineage: Bacteria; Pseudomonadati; Pseudomonadota; Gammaproteobacteria; Enterobacterales; Hafniaceae. The record is from RNAcentral.